GCGGCGGUGCUGCCUCCUCCCACACGCUCCGUGGGUUCGACCUGAACCUUCCGGCGCCCCUCACGGAGUUCUGGCCGCCGGUGGGGUUCGACUUCAGGAAGAAAGUCGGCGGAGGCGACGAGCAAGAGGUGGAAAGCCCGUUGCCAAUAAACGCCGCCAAGAAGGCGCGUUUGUUUUCGGGCGAUGACGAUCAAACGGCGUAGAAAUGUUUAUUUGAAUUUUAUUGUAAUUGAAUUUGCUGGGCUGGUGAAUAUGAAUCGUAACCUCUUAGUUUAAUUUCCAUUUGUUGUUUUUAUUUUAAUUAUCUUCUGUUUAGGGGAUUAGGUUCGGAUUUUGUUUCUGCUCAUCUGUGCAGACAAAAUUUGUUCAUUGCUUUUGGACUCUUCUUUGUCAUUGAUGCAAUCUGACAAAUUCGUUUAUCAGUAAAAUAUUAUUUACGUUAAAGAUGAAUACAAGUGAUUUCUCAUUAUUCUUA
This 475-nucleotide long non-coding RNA is filed under the name Vigna radiata. RNAcentral's name for it is "long non-coding RNA (VRAD_LNC009356)". Lineage: Eukaryota; Viridiplantae; Streptophyta; Magnoliopsida; Fabales; Fabaceae. The record is from RNAcentral.